GUCCAGAACUAGUUAGGAGUUCAGCUGUUUGGAAACAGGCUGCUAAACUCGUUCUCAUUCUGCGCUUCUAACUUAAACCUCCAAGGUGAGGUCCCAGAAGACUGAAAGGUAGCGAAUGUUGUGCCAUUAUUCAAGAAGGGUGGCAAAGAAAUGUCUGGGAACUACAGACCAAUAAGCUUAACAUCAGUGGUUGGAAGAAGGAAAACACCCAAGUGGUCAGAGAUGAGCAGUGACCUUCACAUCAAAGGGCAAUGCUGCCUGCUCAAACAGUGAUGCCAGAAAGCAAAGAGCAGAAGAGCUGUGGCAGUUCCCACCCUCCUAAAUGCCUCUGAGACGUGCAUUGGCUAUAACAGACACCUCAAGGCACUGGAGCAGUACUACCAAUGCUGCCUGCACAAGAUCCUGCAAAUCUGCUGGGAAAAAAGAUGCAUCGCCACCACCAUCCUCGACUAGGCCAACAUAGAGGUGCUGACCACCACUGAUCGGCUACGAUGAGCUGGGCACAUUAUCCACUUGUCCAACACAAGACUCCCUAAGCAGGUGCUCUACUCCUAGCUUUGAAUGGCAGGUGAGCCCAUGUGAACAAAGGAAGUGCUUCAGUGAUACCUUCAAGGCAUCUGGGAAUCACUGGCCCAAGACUGUCCAAAGUGGAGGAGGAACAUCUCGGAAGGUGUCAGCAACUUGAGACAUGUCAUCAGAAAAAAAAACGGAAGCCAGGUGAAAACAGCAAAAGAAGUGCACUGCCACACCAUUGCCCCACUACCCCUUUUCCUGACCACCUUCUGCCCCGUGGCAGAUCCUGUGGUAACCACAUCAGUGUGUCCAGCCACCUACAGACUCACCAUGAGAGUGGAGGAGAGUCAUCUUUGUCGGCAAGGGGCUAGUAAUGAUGAUAAGAAAAAUGCUUGUUUUAUCAUGCUGACAUUGUCAGCAACUUUGAAGAAUAAUAGUCAUUUCUUCGAUAACAUUUCAUCUAUAACAAGAUAGUUCUGCUCCUGCAUUAUAGCCAACACAAGUUUGGCAAGUUCGCAUUUUAGAAGCACCAUUCCCAAUUCACCAAACAUGAUCCAGCCAAUUUGUGUGAAUGAAAUACAUGUUGUCACGGAACUGACUGUAAAAUGGUUAGUUUUGCUGAAUCUCUUAGAUGCAUGGGUGCAUUGUAAAUAUAUAUUGCAUAUCAUCCAUGCUGACUAGAAAGUUUCAAACUCAUCUUCAUUAAUGAGUAUCUUUCAUCAGCAUAACAGCAUAAGAACUAAGAGCAGGAGUAGGGCCAUCUGGUCCUUGGAGCUCGCUCUGCCAGUCGGUAUGAUUAGAUUAGAUUACUUACAGUGUGGAAACUCGGCCCAACAAGUCCACACUGACCCUCCGAAGAACAACCCACCCAGACCCAUUCCCCUACAUUUACCCCUUCACCUAACAUUAUGGGCAAUUAAGCAUGGCCAAUUCACCUAACCUGCACACUUUUGUACUGUAGGAGGAAACCGGAGCACCGGGAGGAAACCUACGCAGACACGGGGAGAAUGUGCAAACUCCACACAGACAGUUGUGUGAGGCAGGAAUUAAACCCGCGUCUCUGGCUCUGUGAGGCAGCAGUGCUAACCAUUGUGCCACUGUGCCACCUGUGCCACCCAUAUUCAUACCUCAUCUUUUCAUGGCUUCAACUCCACUUACCUGCCCUCUCUCCAUAACCCUUAAUUCCUUUACUGUUCAAAAAAGUACCUAUCUUAGCUUUAAAAACUUUACUGAGGAAGCCUCACCUACUUCACUGGGCAGGAAAUUCCAGAGAAUCACAAUGCUUUGGAUGAAGAAGUUCCUUCCCAAUUCAUGCCUUCAUCUGCUCCCCCUAAUUUUGAGGCUAUGCCCUCUUGUCCUUGUUUCACCUGCCAGCGGAAACAUCCUCUCUACCUCGUUUUCCCUUCAUAAUUCUAUAUUUGUAUAAGAUCUCCCCACAUUCUUCUGAAUUCAAAUGAAUAUAAUCUUAGUCUACUCAGUCUCCCCUUGUAAGCCAACCCUCUCAACUCUGGAAUCAACCUGGUGAAAUUCCUCUGCACCCCUUCCAGUGCCAGUAUAUCCUUUCUCAAGGAUGCAGUACUCCAGGUGUGGCCUUACCUGUUUUUAAACUCAAUCCUUUAGCAAUGAAGGACAAAGUUCCAUUUGCCUUUUCAAUUACCUGUUGCACCUAUAGACCAAAUUUCUGUGAUUCAUGCACAAGGACACAUAGAUUCCUCUGCAAAGCAGCAUGCUGUAUCUUUUUUAACCAUUCAAAUAAUUGUCCUUUUUACUGUUAUUCCUAACAAAAUGAAUGACUUCACAUUUAUUAAUAUUGUAAUCCAUUUGCCAAACCUUUGCCUACUCACUUAAAGUAUUAUGUCCCUCUGCAAAGUUUUACAGUCCUCUGCACACUUCCACUACCACUCAUCUAAGUGUCAUCCACAAAUUUUGACAUACUGCACGUGGUCCCCAACUCCAAACCAUCUCUGUAAAUUGUGAAUUAUUGCAGUCCCAACACUGAUUCUUGAGGCACACCACAAUCACUGAUUGCCAACCAGAAAAAACAUUCAUUUAUUUCCACUCUUUGUUUCCUGUUAGUUAACCAAUUCUCUGUCCAUGCUAAUACAUUACUCAUAACGCCAUGCAUCUUUAUCUAAUGGAACAGCCUUCUGCACUUUGUUGAAUGCCUUUUGAAAAUCUAGAUUACAUCACAUCCACUGGGUCCCUGUUGUCCACUGUAAUCAUGAUGUCUUCAUAGAAUUCCAGUAGAUUAGUUAAGCAUGACCUGCUUCUCAUGAACCCAUGCUUCUCAUGAACCCAAUGGAACAAUUUCUAUCUAAAAAUCUUGCUAUUUCUUCCUUGAUAGCAGCAAUGUUCUAAAUGUUUUAUGAUGUGGAGAUGCUGGUGUUGGACUGGGGUGGACAAAAUUAAAAAUCACCCAACACCAGGUUAUGGUCCAACAGCUUUAUUUGGAAGUUCAAGCUUCCAGAGCGCUGCUCCUUCAUCAGAUAACUGGUUGGGUAGGAUCAUAAGGCACAGAAUUUAUAGUAAAAGAUCAAAGUAACAUACAAAUGAUGAAACGUAUUGAACAAACCUAGACUAUUGUUAAGUCCUUAAUCACUUAGAAUGGGGAUUCAGGUUUUAUUGAUUAACAUGUAAAUCUCACAACUUCAUUCAAGUCACAGUCCCGAGAUAAAUUGCAGAUUUGCAUUUGCAGAUACAUUCUGUUCUGUUCAAUCUGUAGGCAGUCAGUUCAUGUGACACCUUAUACAUUCCUACAGUGGAAAUAGAAUGUGUGACAAAGCUGCUCCUUUAACAAGACACAAACUCCGAAAAGUCUAAGUUAACGUGUAUUAGGGCCUAUUUGAUUAUAGCUAACAAUUACUGCCUCAGGCAAAAAAAGCUUUUAAGGUUUAAAAAAAACACUUGUACAAUGAAAGGGGACUGACCAGUUCUCCCAGCUCAAUUUUUCUCUGGUCUAGCUUUAUACUAAAAGCAAUCAGGCAGUUGAAAAGCUGCUGAACCCCAAAGAAGCAGGUCCAUGCUGAUAUCUCUCUGACUUCUCUCCUGUAAAAACCUGUGUUUGAUUUUACCUUUUGUGCCAAAAGGUGUUUAUGGGGACUGUUGCAAGUAUUGGAACAGCAUCAUUAAGUUGGGAUCAUCUGUUGGGUUUUCAUGUAAGUUAUCAUGCUGCAUUCUGUUCUCUUUUGUUUGUGCUUCAUCCGGUAAUCUUGUAAAUAAAUUCUGUUUUGUUUAAAAUGAAGUGGGUUGGCCAGUUGCAUCUCUUCUGGAAUGUCCUCUUACACCGACUUAAAGCAACUGGCAAAGUUAAGGUCUGGGCUACUUUCUUGAAAUAUUUUGAGGGUUCUGGCCUGAUUCAUAUCAGAUUGGGGGUUUGUCUGGGAUUUGUCCUAUGGUUCCCACCAGGGAUUAGGGUUGUUGGACUCGAAGGUAGCAAGUGGUAGGUGUUAGUGUCUUUUGUCCUGGGUGUUGAUUUUGGUCAGUUUAAACAGAGUUUGAAUUAUGUUUAAAAGCAGAAGAGAGAAAAAAAAGAGAGAGGGUGUUUGAACUUCAGAAACUGUCACUCAGGCAGGAAAGAUAGCUUGAAAGGAUGAAGAUGAAGGCUGAAGGUAAGCUUAGCGAUGAAGAGAGUGAGGGUGAGCAAACCCAUGGUCACCAAAGGCCUGGUGAGAAACUGUUUAAACAUAUUCAAGCAUUGCCUACAUUUGAUGAGAAGGAUGUGGAAGCCAUUUUAAUCCUAUCAGAAAAGGUAGUUAAACAAAUGUAGUGGUCAGUGAUCAUGUAGGUUUUAUUGAUAGUAACAAACCUUAUAGAUAGAGCUAGUAAGGCAUUCACAUCACGAUCAGAUGAGGUAUCUGGGUGGAUGAGGAGAUGAAGAAAGCCAUCUUAAGUGCACAUGAGCUUGUGCCAAAGACUACAGACAAUCAUGGGUUGGUGCAACAUCGAGGGCCGAAGGGCCUGUUCUGCGCUGUAUUGUUCUAUGUUCUAUAUUUCAGGAAUCUAAGGAGGGACCCUGGUCAAACCUACACUGACUUUGAAAGGAUCAAACAAAGUAAUUUUGAUAGGUGGAGAAGGGCUUAAAAAUGAGGUACAAAAAAUUCAUUUUCUGAAGUAGUGAGAACCAAUGUGCAAGAGCAGAGAGUUUAAACAGCAAGAUUAGCAGCUGAAAUGGCUGACGAUUAUGAGUUGGUCCAUAAAUCAAAGUUUGGCUUCCAAAAUCAAUUUCUAUCUGUGAGGGAAAGAAAUUGGAGAAAAGAGAAACCUUCAUGUGGAAAGGGAAGGGUAGAUCUUGGUGAAAAUCAUGAGGAUAACUUACCACAGGGUAAAAAGGGGAAAGAUAAUUGAAGGGGAAAGAUAAUUGAAAAACCUCUAGUGUUUUCACUGCAAUGAAGUAGGCCACAUGAAAUCAUAGUGUUGGUAGGUUAGGAAAUGAAUUGGGAGGCCAGAGGUAGGAAAAUAGGAUAAGUCUGUGAAUGUUGUUAGACUGGUAAUGGAAAGCACAGUGGAGGCAUUUGGUGGCAGGAGUAAAACAGACCGAAACAAAAUGUUAUAGUGCGUGUUUGCAUGUUUAUUGUCAAUGUUAUGUAUAUGUAUGGUGUAGAGAAACUAGCAAUUUAGGAUUAAGGGGGUUUAAAAUGAAACCAUCUUUGGAUAUUGACGGUUUUGCUCCUUUAACAAGGUUAUGUUGUCCUUGGUUGUUUUUUUUCCAGAGAGGUCAUAAAAGACAAAGAUACCGAAAAGUCUAAGUUGAAGGAUUUUAGAGUCAAUUUGAUUAUUGCUAACAGAUACUGUCUCAGGCAAAAGGCUUGUAAAUGAAAGAGGGCUGGCCAGUUCUCCCAGCUCAAUUUUUCUCUGGUCUGGCUGUAGACUAAAAGCAGUCAGGCAGCUGAAAAGCUGCUGAACCCCAAAGAAGCAGGUUCGUGCUGGUAUCUCUCUGACUUCUCUCUUGUAAACACCUGUGUUUGAUUUUACCUUUUGUGCCAAAGGAUGUUUAUGGAGUUUGUUGCAAGUAUUUGGAAAAGCAUCAAUAAUUUGGGAAGAGCUGUUGGCUUUUCAGACAGUUUAAGUUAUUCUGUAUUCUGUUCUCUUCUGUUUGUGUUUCAUUUGGUAAUCUUAUAAAUAAAUUCUGUUUUAUUAAAACUAAGUGUGUUGGCCAGCUGCAUCACUCCUGGAAUUUCCACCUUACACCUGCUUAAAUAAACUAGCAAAUUUAGGGUCUGGGCUAUCUUCUUGAAAUGUCUUCAGGGUUCUAGUCUGGUCCAUAACAAACCAGUCUGACUCAAGAUUGGGACACAGAGAGACUCUAACCUUACCCCUUUAAUGCAUUGUCUGAGCUGAAAUGCCAUCUUUAUUUAUAAAACUUUAAGUUAUCUUAGGACUACGACUUGAAA
Hemiscyllium ocellatum (epaulette shark) is the source of this 5903-nucleotide long non-coding RNA. RefSeq lists it as uncharacterized. NCBI's taxonomy places the organism in Eukaryota, Metazoa, Chordata, Chondrichthyes, Orectolobiformes, Hemiscylliidae. The record is from RefSeq and is a predicted model, not a curated record. The transcript is spliced from 4 exons.